UGAAGUUGAAAAGAAGAAAGCGGGUUUUUGACAAGCCCAUUAUUCGGAAGUCCAGGUGGGUGACGGAUGUUACCAUCAUGCCCCAGUACAACAAACUGAUCCUAGGGACUGGAAACCGUGAAAUCCAGCUGUAUGAACUC
This 140-nucleotide long non-coding RNA is filed under the name Capra hircus (goat). RNAcentral's name for it is "lncRNA (ENSCHIG00010004881.1)". Lineage: Eukaryota; Metazoa; Chordata; Mammalia; Artiodactyla; Bovidae. The record is from RNAcentral.